This 434-nucleotide long non-coding RNA is filed under the name Homo sapiens (human). RNAcentral's name for it is "HSALNT0289693". The record is from RNAcentral. Lineage: Eukaryota; Metazoa; Chordata; Mammalia; Primates; Hominidae.
ACGCCGUAGUCCGGCCAGCCGAAGUACUGGAAGUGCUGCACCGUACGCUGUGGCUCCUCCUGAGCGGGGCAAGCGCUACCUAAGAGGGAAGGGCCCGCUGUCCUGUGAUCACGUGACUUGCUUCACCUUGUCAAUCACUUAGAAGACUGACCCUCCUUAUCCUGCCCCCUUGUCUUGUAUGCAAUAAAUAUCAGCGAGCCCAGCCGUUCAGGGCCACUACCGGUCUCCGUGUCUUUGUGGUAGUGGUCCCCGGGGCCCAGCUGUUUUCUCUUUAUCUCUUUGUCUUGUGUCUUUAUUUAUUACAAUCUCUCAUCUCCACACACGGGGAGAACACCUGCUAAGCUCCGUAGGGCUGGACCCUACAGUCCCAGACCCUGCGCUCCCAUCGGGCACUUGCCCCAGCCCCAGGGGACAGAGUCUGAAGGUGACAGCGG